AGAUGCACAUGGGCCACAUACUAAAGUGAAAAAGCUGUUGUGAAAAAUGUUUAUGUGGCAAGUGACAAUGACUUACUUAUCCAUAACUUGGAAAAAUGUUUUUCUUUGUCUUUAUUAUUGUGGCAUCAAUAUAAUCCACAAUAGUAUACACAGAAUGUACAAACCAUUAGGAACACCUUCCAAAUAUAAUGUUGCACCCCCUUUUGCCCUCAGAACAGCCUAAAUUCUUUGAGGCAUGGACUCAACAAGGUGUUGAAAGCAUUCCAUAGGGACGCUGGCCCAUGUUGACUCCAAUGCUUCUCCCAGUUGUGUCAAGUUGGCUGGAUGUUGUUUGGGUGGUGGACCAUUCUUGAUAAAUACGGGAAACUGUUGAGCAUGAAAAACCCAGUAGCGUUGUAGUUCUUGAUACACUCAAACCGGUGCACUCGGAGAGCGCUGAGAGUCUGGAAGCAUGUUCAGGGAGUGAGUGUUUUAAUAAAUAAAAGAAACAAUGAACACAAACAACGUACUGACAUGAAAACAGAAUCAAUAACGCCUGAGGAAGGAACCAGGAGGAGUGACAGAUACAGGGAAGAUAUUCAAGGAGGUGAUGGAGUCCAGGUGAGUGUCAUAAGGCGCAGGUGCGCUUGACGAUGGCGACAGGUGUGCGGGAUAAUUAGCAGCCUGAUGACCUAGAGGUCAGAGAGGGAGUAUAAUCAGCAGCCUGAUGACCUAGAGGUCAGAGAGGGAGUAUAAUCAGCAGCCUGAUGACCUAGAGGUCAGAGAGGGAGUAUAGUCAGCAGCCUGAUGACCUAGAGGUCAGAGAGGGAGUAUAAUCAGCAGCAUGAUGACCUAGAGGUCAGAGAGGGAGUAUAAUCAGCAGCCUGAUGACCUAGAGGAAGGAGAGGGAGUAUAAUCAGCAGCCUGAUGACCUAGAGGUCAGAGAGGGAGGAUAAUCAGCAGCCUGAUGACCUAGAGGAAGGAGAGGGAGUAUAAUCAGCAGCAUGAUGACCUAGAGGUCAGAGAGGGAGUAUAAUCAGCAGCCUGAUGACCUAGAGGUCAGAGAGGGAGUAUAAUCAGCAGCCUGAUGACCUAGAGGAAGGAGAGGGAGUAUAAUCAGCAGCAUGAUGACCUAGAGGUCAGAGAGGGAGUAUACGUGACACCUACUGUACUACCAUACCCUGUUCGUGCCCAUUCACCCUCUUGUGUAAGUGUGCCAUUCAAUGUCUCAAUUUUCUGAAGGCUUAAACAUCCUUCUUUAACCUGUCUCCUCCCCUUCAUCUACACUGAUUGAAGUGGAUUUAACAGGUGACAUCAAUAAGGGAUCAUAUCUUUCAUCUUUCAUGGAAAGAGCAAGUGUUCUUAAUGUUAUGUACAUUUACAGGACAUUUCUAACAUAAUUGUGCUUUGGUACUUAUCUAGGUCUAUGACAGAGACACAAAACACGCCAGUGGCUGCUAAACCAACUUCGCAUGAUCAACAUCACAGAUGCCAUCAGCAACACAUCGGUGUCAGAAGCAGAAGGUGGGGUCAGCUGGAGGUUACCACCCUAUUGGUGGAGAGAACACACUGGUGAGAUAAUACAGCACUAACAGAAAUAUUAGCUCUUGGUUAGGUGAGAUUGAGUGUUCCCCCACCAAUUCCCAUUGACAUAUACAAACUAUUGAUAGGCAAACAAGCAUGACUUGACUUAAUCCCUUUCUUUGGGGAGCUUAGGUCAUACACAAACUUCCUCCAGCAGGGAAACAACUUCUGAGUAUUGGAGUUAGGUGUCCAUGCCUAAGGCCUUAGCAAUUGCAUAAGUAUGUCAGGUAGUGUGUUUUUUUAUUAGGGUGUGUUUGGAUGGCCGCCAAUCUACAGAGCUCCUUUUUGGGGGCCAUCUUGGAGCAGUUCAGCUGGGGGCAGACCCGAGGACCCACGCGGAUGAUGGCAGCACUCCAGAGCAAGCAUGCAAUAAUCAGGGUUAUAUAUAUAUAUGUGUGUGUGUGUGUGUGUGUGUGUGUGUGUGUGUGUGUGUGUGUGUGUGUGUGUGUGUGUGUGUGUUUGAGAAAGAGAGAGAGACAGAGGGUGUCUGUGUAUUUGUGUUUUACAAGCCUUG
RNAcentral lists this long non-coding RNA (2077 nucleotides) under Salmo salar (Atlantic salmon). RNAcentral's name for it is "lncRNA (ENSSSAG00000085664.1, ENSSSAG00000091620.1)". The record is from RNAcentral. Lineage: Eukaryota; Metazoa; Chordata; Actinopteri; Salmoniformes; Salmonidae.